This 379-nucleotide ribosomal RNA is filed under the name uncultured Cryptomonas. RNAcentral's name for it is "partial small subunit ribosomal RNA". It matches the Rfam family "Eukaryotic small subunit ribosomal RNA", at positions 30 to 432 of the family's 1831-position model. The record is from RNAcentral. Lineage: Eukaryota; Cryptophyceae; Cryptomonadales; Cryptomonadaceae.
GCUUGUCUCAAAGAUUAAGCCAUGCAUGUCUUAGUGUAAAUAACUCUUAUGAAACUGCGAAUGGCUCAUUAAAUCAGUUAUCAAAUACGUGAUGGUCGCCUACUACAUGGAUAACCGUAGUAAUUCUAGAGCUAAUACAUGCACAAAGGCCCACUCACGUGGGUUGUGAUUAUUAGAUUCAAACCGGCCUCGUUCUGGUGAUUCAUAAUAACUUUACGAAUCUUUUCUUUUGAAAAGAUGAUUCAUUCAAAUUUCUGCCCUAUCAGCUUUGAUGGUAAGGUAUUGGCUUACCAUGGCAAUAACGGGUGACGGGGAAUUAGGGUUUGAUUCCGGAGAGGGAGCCUGAGAAACGGCUACCACUUCUAAGGAAGGCAGCAGG